GCAAACACGUCAUCUCGGCUCGUCCUCGCGCAGUUCGUGGGAACGGGAAGGCAUCCGAAUAUCCGAUGAUGUCCUGGUCGCCAGGCGCGCGACGUCACCGGAUAAGUGACUGGCCUCCGCCUUCCGGGGCGCAUCAGCCACCGCGUGGGGCACGCCUCGUCGCGUGUGGGCGCGGCCAGCACCGGCCGGCGGGCACACUUGGUGGCCGAAGCUCCAAGCGUCGGCCGCCGGGCCACUAUAUAUUGCCCCCAUCUACUCAAACGCUACAUGCCUGAAGCAGAUGCCUCAGCGUAACACACGGGAUCGGAGGAGGGAGUUGUCCAAGUUUCUUGUCACUUGUUCCUUCGGCUUCAGGGAGAAAUUUUGGUCUAAAUUUAAGCACCUGGCAGUUCGUCCCAGACAAGCAAACUGUGAUAUGAUCAAAUAUUCAAUUUUGAUGUAAAAUAUGGAUCCGGAUCAGUUUAUUUUUGUUCAGGUCUCACAUGACACUCAGGUCAGCAUAGAACUAAGGAAAGCUUACAUUCCAUCGGUGUUUUGAGAGGUGUACUGUUUAGCAUUUGGGAGCAUACAGAAGAACUAUUCAGCAUUUAAGCAUAUCACGUUCUAAAAAAAAUUUGGUAGUGCUUUGUGCUAGCUUGUCGCAAAAUCAAACUGCCCAAAAAAAAUUCUUUUUAAUUUAAAAUGUUAGUAAGCAUAUUUCUAUGUUUCCUUGCGUGACAAUGAAAAGCUUGGCGAUUGACUUCCAGUACUGGUCGGAACCCCUUCAGUACUGGAGGUCCGACCAGUAUCGCUUCUUCGGUAUUAAAUGUCAUGGAUGAAUGCUCAAUUUUUUAGUAGUGCACGUAGAUUUUCCUUGUUUUAGUUUCUGUAUAUAUCAUGCCAUACGGUACAAUUAGUUAUCCAGCUUUAUCAUGUUUUAUGAAAUACCUUCUGCUUUGUUCUAAAGGGGUUUAAACUCCCACAAGGUAAAACUUUGUUCCCUUUGAAAUUGAAGUAGAUAUGUUAGCCCCCUGUUUCUGUUUGUUUCCACCAUCACCCCCUCCUUCAGACUACAAACCAGAUGCUCGCCAUUGGGGCUCUGGUCUUGAAUGUUCUCGGUACACAUGCAGAAAAAGAAUGUUAAUGGACCGUACCCUGAAUUGCAUCACCAGUGUGGCACAUUCAAUCAAGUGCAUAUGCAUAACAGGAAUUCUGGCGGCCAAGCUACUCUGUUUGCAACAUGCAUAAACCUCGUGGCUGGGUGGCUUCAACCUGUCACUUUCCAGUAACACCUAGUGUCCUAGUUGUGCUUCUUAGCGGUCACUGACACACCACGUUGCCAGGAUGAACUCCGUUCACUUUCCAGUAACACCUAGUGUCCUAGUUGUGCUUCUUAGCGGUCACUGACACACCACGUUGCCAGGAUGAACUCCGCUCGUAAUGAUAAACCUGCGAGGCUUUUAUCUGUAUAAUCCUUUAGUUAACCAAAUCAGCUUUGAAUCACUGGCGUCCGGGUGACAUUCAGAGACUUUGGCUCGCGUCGAUUAUUCUAGAAAUCGAGCCCGGUGAACACAGGGAGAUUUAACAGUGUCACGCCGCUGGCUUAGGUUAUAUAUCAUCGUGCGUGCGUGAUGUGAAGCAGCAUCUAGGAUUUAAUUUACUAGAUUAUAGCUUCACCCUCAAUCAAAGAAAAAGAAUCUCAAGAGAGAUUUCGAAGAGAUCCUCGACUAGGAAAAGGGAACGUCCUACUGUGCUGUCCACUGCCGCGGUGCUGUGUGGCGAAAGCUCGUAGCACCACACGCAUUCGCUGCAAGAGACUGUCGUCGUGCCGUUAGUCGCUCUCGGUCGGGCACCCUCGUCGAUCGAUCGGGUUGGAGCCGGACUGGCCACACAGCACCGCGCGCGCGAACAGUUCCCAACCGUCCCCUUUCCACGAUCCGAGGGUAUAUAAAAAGUUUCGGGUGCGGCGAAUGAUGAAGCUGCAACCUCGAGUGUGACCAGAAUUAGCUAAGCCGCCAUGGGAUUGGGGAAGGGGAAGAAGAAGAAGAAGAAGAAGAAGCAGCUGCUGGUGGAGAAGGUGCGGUGCGCGGCGCGGCAGCAGGUGGGCAAGCUCUACAUCAUCGCCGCCUGCCUCGCGCUGCUCGUCUGCGGCUGCAGCAGCAGCAGCAGCAGCAGUCACACGAAGCGGAAUAAAAUCAAGAAACAGGGCAAGAGCAGCAAUAUCUAAGGCCUGAGGAGUCCUUUAUAAUAAAAAAAAAGGCCUGAGGAGUCCUUUAUCAAAAAAAGGCCUGAGGAGUAGGGCUAUGUAUCACUCUGAUACUAGUAUAUCUUUGUCCAGCAUAUAUAGCUGCAUCAUUACAGCCGGUUUUGUCGCAUGCCUGUUUGCUGCCAGUAAGCAGUGUGUGCUGGACAGCACAAUGAGACGAAGAAAACGGCGGGAAUAAUGCUUAUACAUGAAAUGUGCUGGACAGUGGACAAGUGGCGUACAUCCGUAGAUGCCACUGUCACGUAGGGAUUCUGGUGUACGUACAUAUACCAUAUGAGAUGUCAUGGUGAUUCAUGAGGGCAAGUCUGUCUAUACAUUGUGGUGUGACUUAUUGGGAGCCAGCGACAGGGAAAUCGUGUCAGGACUCAGGUUCCUGAUACAGGAUCUGACGAUAAAUUGGGGGAAAUUUGGGGGAAGAAGAGAUGGAUAUAAAGGAGAAAGUUAGGAUUCUAAGCUAUGACGCAAGUAAGAGAAAGGAAAUAGCAGCAGCAAUGACUGUUACCUGUUACUGUCACCGGUUAUAUUCUCGUUUUUUUACAGAGGAGCAGUGGUCAAUGACUGUUAGAUAUGUGCAGGUAGAUCAACGAAGAUUACUGAACAAAGGGAAUGAUAAAUCAACGAUACAAGUAGAUUCGACCAUUCCUCUCUGUCGCCAUUUUUGGAGCCUAUUUCUUCAGACUUGGUGGUGCUUCUCUUCUUCAGAACCUGACAAAAGGCGUUUGGAAUCAUCCUUUUCUUAGUUUGUGUUCAAUGCUGGAUGCAAAAUUUAUAUAAGCUUGUAAGGAUCA
Long non-coding RNA from Setaria italica (foxtail millet), 3033 nucleotides. RefSeq lists it as uncharacterized. NCBI's taxonomy places the organism in Eukaryota, Viridiplantae, Streptophyta, Magnoliopsida, Poales, Poaceae. The transcript is spliced from 3 exons. The record is from RefSeq and is a predicted model, not a curated record.